AAUCAACGCUGGCGGCGUGCCUAACACAUGCAAGUCGAACGCGAAAGCCCGCAAGGGUAAGUAGAGUGGCGCACGGGUGAGUAACACGUGGACAACCUGCCUUCGAGUGGGGAAGUAACCUUCCGAAGGAGGGCUAAUACCGCAUAACACCUCGGGACACAAGUUCUGGGGUUGGAAAGAAGCAAUUUGCUCGAAGAGGGGUCCGCGCCUGAUUAGCUAGUUGGUGAGGUAACGGCUCACCAAGGCUUCGAUCAGUAGCCGUCCUGAGAGGGAGCACGGCCACACUGGAACUGAGACACGGUCCAGACUCCUACGGGAGGCAGCAGUGGGGAAUUUUUGG
This 340-nucleotide ribosomal RNA is filed under the name uncultured bacterium. RNAcentral's name for it is "bacterial SSU rRNA". It matches the Rfam family "Bacterial small subunit ribosomal RNA", at positions 32 to 368 of the family's 1533-position model. The record is from RNAcentral.